GCCUUUGCUUCCCCUCGACGACUUUAGACGCUUACCCACACCUGUCCGGAGUUCGAUUCACUGUACCCACCCCUGUUUAGACUCAAGCCAGCAUUACCCAUCGCUUUUGACAUCGGAACAGCAAGCAUAAGGACAUUCGAACUCAGUUUUGGAUGCCCGAACCUCCUCGGUGUGGACCCACUCCUUACCCAAGAGGUUUUAUGGUGAGAUAGUAGGAACCCUUCGGUGAACUUGGUAGCACAUUAGAACUUUGUUGUAAGUAGUUCUUACUGGAGGGAUUGGUUGUUGUGUGCUGAUAUGAUAUGGUUGUUUUCUCGUGUGCCCAUGUGUGAUACUUGCAUGUCGCUUGUCGUUGUUAUCAUUUAGUAAACGUCGUUGUUGAUAAAACUGUUGAUAUAUCUUGGGAAAAGUAUGUGGUUGUGUGAAUAAAUUGUAGCCAGGUAAUCCUGGAUGACUAUCAUUGAAUUGCUAUUAUGUUCUAAUUGGUUUUAAUGAUGAAAUUUGUAUACCGGUACUAUAAUCUGUUGUUUCGAAAGUGUAUUGAAUAUUUAUGAGAAAUCGGUUGUGUUUGAUGUAUGCUGAGUAUUUAUCAAUUAUAUUUUGGUUAAGUGGUUGAUUGUGCUUUUUCUGUGAACGAUGCCUGCUGGAGCUGUUGGAUCAUGUUGGACUAUUUUAGAUUGAUUGGCUUUUACAUAUGAUCAUUUUGGUGUAUUGCAUAUUGGACUGUUAUGAGAUUGUUGAUGCAUGAGGCAUGGCGUGGUAGCAAGUAGAACUCUUAUGAGAAUUUUGGGACAUAACAAAGUAAGUAGCACGGGGGCGGGUGUGUGCGUUGAUGUGUGUUAAUAGAAAUUGUUCUUGCUGAUUUUACAUUAUAAACAUGUUUCUCUUAUUAUUUUAAUUGUUGGACAGGUUUGUGA
Molecule: non-coding RNA, 917 nt
Organism: Momordica charantia (bitter melon)
Lineage: Eukaryota; Viridiplantae; Streptophyta; Magnoliopsida; Cucurbitales; Cucurbitaceae
Source: RefSeq, a predicted model, not a curated record